This 465-nucleotide ribosomal RNA is filed under the name Vreelandella stevensii. RNAcentral's name for it is "partial 16S ribosomal RNA". It matches the Rfam family "Bacterial small subunit ribosomal RNA", at positions 338 to 795 of the family's 1533-position model. The record is from RNAcentral. Lineage: Bacteria; Pseudomonadati; Pseudomonadota; Gammaproteobacteria; Oceanospirillales; Halomonadaceae.
CCUACGGGUGGCUGCAGUGGGGAAUAUUGGACAAUGGGCGAAAGCCUGAUCCAGCCAUGCCGCGUGUGUGAAGAAGGCCUUCGGGUUGUAAAGCACUUUCAGUGGGGAAGAAAGCCUUGGGGCUAAUACCCUCGAGGAAGGACAUCACCCACAGAAGAAGCACCGGCUAACUCCGUGCCAGCAGCCGCGGUAAUACGGAGGGUGCGAGCGUUAAUCGGAAUUACUGGGCGUAAAGCGCGCGUAGGUGGUCUGAUAAGCCGGUUGUGAAAGCCCCGGGCUCAACCUGGGAACGGCAUCCGGAACUGUCAGGCUAGAGUGCAGGAGAGGAAGGUAGAAUUCCCGGUGUAGCGGUGAAAUGCGUAGAGAUCGGGAGGAAUACCAGUGGCGAAGGCGGCCUUCUGGACUGACACUGACGCUGAGGUGCGAAAGCGUGGGUAGCAAACAGGAUUAGAUACCCUGGUAGUC